CAAGAUGGAGUUGCUUUGGCUCACAUGCCUCUGACAAGAUCAACAGCAGAAAUAAAGAACCAUGCUG
This 67-nucleotide long non-coding RNA is filed under the name Callithrix jacchus (white-tufted-ear marmoset). Its description in RNAcentral is "lncRNA (ENSCJAG00000070541.1)". The record is from RNAcentral. Lineage: Eukaryota; Metazoa; Chordata; Mammalia; Primates; Cebidae.